UACGGAGGGAGCAAGCGUUACUCGGAAUUAUUGGGCGUAAAGGGCGCGUAGGCGAUCUGACAAGUCUGGUGUGAAAGCCCACAUGUUAACUGUGGAAGUGCAUUAGAAACUGUUGGAUUUGAGUUCAGGAGAGGAAGGCAGAAUUCCCGGUGUAGCGGUGAAAUGCGUAGAGAUCGGGAGGAAUACCAGUGGCGAAGGCGGCCUUCUGGACUGACACUGACGCUGAGGCGCGAAAGCCAGGGGAGCAAACGGG
This 253-nucleotide ribosomal RNA is filed under the name uncultured bacterium. RNAcentral's name for it is "partial 16S ribosomal RNA". It matches the Rfam family "Bacterial small subunit ribosomal RNA", at positions 524 to 776 of the family's 1533-position model. RNAcentral also lists the same sequence under 2 other names. The record is from RNAcentral.